UACGAAGGGGGCUAGCGUUGUUCGGAAUUACUGGGCGUAAAGCGCGCGUAGGCGGUGAUCUUUGUCAGAGGUGAAAUCCCGAGGCUCAACUUCGGAAUUGCCUUUGAAACGGGAUUGCUUGAGUCCGAGAGAGGAUGGCGGAAUUCCUAGUGUAGAGGUGAAAUUCGUAGAUAUUAGGAGGAACACCGGUGGCGAAGGCGGGUCUCUGGGCCGAUACUGACGCUGAGGAGCGAAAGCGUGGGGAGCGAACAGG
RNAcentral lists this ribosomal RNA (253 nucleotides) under uncultured bacterium. RNAcentral's name for it is "partial 16S ribosomal RNA". It matches the Rfam family "Bacterial small subunit ribosomal RNA", at positions 524 to 776 of the family's 1533-position model. The record is from RNAcentral.